GUGCUUGUUUCGGCGGCACUUAUACUAAAAUUGGAAUAAUGCAGAGAAGAUUACAUGGCCCCUGCACAGGAAUGACAUGUAAAUUCUUAAAGUAUUCCAUAUUUUU
Molecule: small nuclear RNA, 106 nt
Organism: Otolemur garnettii (small-eared galago)
Lineage: Eukaryota; Metazoa; Chordata; Mammalia; Primates; Galagidae
Source: Ensembl